AUGAUGCUGUUUUCCAGACAGAAUUACAUCAGAGUCUUGAAGCUUCCCAAGAACCUGGCCCCUGUUGAACCCACCAGCACCUCAGAAGCGUGGGCUAAGAACUGGCAGAGGUCUGCAGGAGGAAAUGCUUCAAGAACAUACUACGGUGCCCUGCAAACAGUAAUCCACCAGCAAUAUCUCUUCCCCAGCUGAGAAGACAAAGAUCCAGGGAAGAUGUGACUGUCUGUAACCAAACUGUGAUAACUGCUAUUUGUUUUAGUUUUAAUUUGGAUCCUCUGAAAUGCCCUUAUUGGUGGUGAUAUUUAUUCUUAUUGUCUAUGUGCCUGUCUUCCACUUAGAAUGUGAGCCCCUUUGGGACAACUACUGUGUUUGAAUUAUCUUGUACCUGUGCUAGCACUCAAUAUCCUACCUAAUACAGAGAAAGUGUAUAAUAAACACCAAACUAAUACUCACUGUGACUGAUGAUGGAACACAAUUGCUCCUCG
This is a long non-coding RNA of Ornithorhynchus anatinus (platypus), 485 nucleotides long. RefSeq lists it as uncharacterized. The record is from RefSeq and is a predicted model, not a curated record. Lineage: Eukaryota; Metazoa; Chordata; Mammalia; Monotremata; Ornithorhynchidae. The transcript has 3 exons.